UUCAACUGGGUUUUUAUUCCAUCCUGCCCACCCUGUUAACACUUGUUGAAAAGAAAAGGCAAGAAGAGGCGGUGACAAAACCCCAAAGCAUGAAGGAAGCGUUCUGAACUCAUUGUCACCUGCUUCCAGAGGCGCCAGGUUGCAGCUCAAAGAGGGCAACCCAUCCACAGAUGGGGCAGGCCUGCCAGGCAAUGGCAUCCUGCUUUGGAGGAAGUGGAAGGAAGCAGAAGUCCAGAAGGUGGGGUACUGCAGCCAAUGAGAGACUGGGGAGUUCAGAACACCAGGGGCAUUGAAAAGGAAGCCGCCAGCUGUUCUUCAUCCCGCCAAGAGACAGAAGAGGGCUGCGAUGUUCCCCACAGAAUAGAGGAUCAAAGAGCCUGAGCAUCUACUUUCCUUCAAACAAGGCCAAGUGAGCGUAGAUUUGCAAACCUAUGCUCACACCUUGCUAGACCUCUGCUUGCUUUGGCAGCUAGGAAUCUCAAAGAACACAUCCUGACUAGAUGAGUCUCUGGUAGAGAGUCAUUCCUCUUUACUGUUUCCAGGGACAGGCAAUACUGCUUUCGGUUUGAUGGGUAGGUGAUGAUAAUUGAUAAUGAUAAUACUUGAUAACCGAUAAUGAUGAUGAUAAUAAUGAAAAUAAUUGUUAUUGAUGAUAAUAAUCGAUGAUGAUGAUCAAUGAUGAUGAUGAAUUGUUAUGCUCAUACUAUAAUUAUGUUGAUUUGACCAACAAUAUCUAUGCCAUUGA
Long non-coding RNA from Suncus etruscus (white-toothed pygmy shrew), 745 nucleotides. RefSeq lists it as uncharacterized. The transcript has 4 exons. The record is from RefSeq and is a predicted model, not a curated record. Lineage: Eukaryota; Metazoa; Chordata; Mammalia; Eulipotyphla; Soricidae.